GCGCUUGAAUAGAGCCCAUCGUCAUAAUCGGAGAGGACACCGAUUGUGAAGAGGGAAGCGACCCAAUUUGUUCUUCUGGUUGGCGAGCUAAAGUAUAUUGCGAUUGCUUAUCCUGGUAAUCCAUUGUCGUCCUAGCUGCCCAUGCCCUAGCCUUGGCUGGCCAAUCUUGUUCACUGUUCUGGGCUGGGUAUUCCCAGUCUUGGUUAUUCGACCAACUUUGAGCUCCCCACUCCUGAUUGAGCUGCGGAGGAUGAUAAGAUUGAGGAUUAUAAUGGUGCGCAUAAUGAGGAGAAGGAGGCGACGGGGACUCUGAUGAGUGGUACCGGUACUGGUUCAAGUACCACGCGCCUUGCUGCUGAUAGUGGUAGGGAACCGAAAUGGUCGGUAGUGGUGGUGGUGGCGGCGGCGGCCUCAUGUAAUGCUGUUGUUGUGGUCCGUAGGAAUCCAUGGUCUCGAAUUGCAGCACCUGAGAGAUAGGUUGAAUCACUGAUGGAGAUAUGAUUGGUACUGGAGAAGUCGACUAAGAAUCGAUUUGAAGCACCGAAGGCUCAAUCACCUGAGCUGUUCGCCCCAGUCUCAGUUGUCUCAACUCGUUUAAUAUCUCAGACUGGAAUAAAGUCUGUUCCGUCGCCAUCGACGCCAUAGAUUUGUGAAGUUCACUGAAUUCCGCCGCUGUCUCACAAAAUCUCGCCGCUGUCACCUCUAACUCGACUUGGAGCUUCAUCAUCAAAUUACCUGGGUCAGGCGGACGCGGCGGUGUUGAUGAAUAUUGUGGCGGAUCUCCAGCUUUCCUCGGCCCCAUGAUUUGGAGCUCUGAUAUCAGUUGUUAGGGUCCUAACCCUAAG
This 845-nucleotide long non-coding RNA is filed under the name Rosa chinensis. RNAcentral describes it as "sRNA RchiOBHm_Chr6g0310561". Lineage: Eukaryota; Viridiplantae; Streptophyta; Magnoliopsida; Rosales; Rosaceae. The record is from RNAcentral.